AGAGUUUGAUCCUGGCUCAGAACGAACGCUGGCGGCAGGCUUAACACAUGCAAGUCGAACGAUAUAGUGGCAGACGGGUGAGUAACGCGUGGAAACGUGCCCUUCACUACGGAAUAGCUUUUGGAAACGAAAGGUAAUACCGUAUACGCCCUCCGGGGGAAAGAUUUAUCGGUGAAAGAUCGGUCCGCGUUAGAUUAGCUAGUUGGUGAGGUAAGAGCUCACCAAGGCGACGAUCUAUAGCUGGUCUGAGAGGAUGAUCAGCCACACUGGGACUGAGACACGGCCCAGACUCCUACGGGAGGCAGCAGUGGGGAAUAUUGCACAAUGGGCGCAAGCCUGAUGCAGCCAUGCCGCGUGAAUGAUGAAGGCCUUAGGGUUGUAAAAUUCUUUCGCUAGGGAUGAUAAUGACAGUACCUAGUAAAGAAGCCCCGGCUAACUUCGUGCCAGCAGCCGCGGUAAUACGAAGGGGGCUAGCGUUGUUCGGAAUUACUGGGCGUAAAGCGCACGUAGGCGGACUUUUAAGUCAGAUGUGAAAUCCCGAGGCUCAACCUCGGAACUGCAUUUGAAACUGGGAGUCUAGAGAUCAGGAGAGGUUAGCGGAAUACCC
Molecule: ribosomal RNA, 607 nt
Filed under: uncultured Alphaproteobacteria bacterium
Lineage: Bacteria; Pseudomonadati; Pseudomonadota; Alphaproteobacteria
Description: bacterial SSU rRNA
Rfam family: Bacterial small subunit ribosomal RNA
Source: RNAcentral